CUUUGUGGCUCUGCUGGUCUAAAUGCACCUGAUUUUAUCUGAGCUUAGAAGCUAAGUAGUCCUGUACCUGUCUAGCACUUGGAUAGAAGACCCUCAUGGAACCCCAGCUUUCAUAGAUA
Molecule: ribosomal RNA, 119 nt
Filed under: Crocodylus porosus (Australian saltwater crocodile)
Lineage: Eukaryota; Metazoa; Chordata; Crocodylia; Crocodylidae
Source: RNAcentral